ACAGGUGCUGCAUGGCUGUCGUCAGCUCGUGUCGUGAGAUGUUGGGUUAAGUCCCGCAACGAGCGCAACCCUCGCCUUUAGUUGCCAGCACGUUUGGGUGGGNACUCUAGAGGAACUGCCGGUGACAAGCCGGAGGAAGGUGGGNAUGACGUCAAGUCCUCAUGGCCCUUAUGUCCUGGGCUACACACGUGCUACAAUGGCGGUGACAGUGGGAAGCCAAGCAGCGAUGCUNAGCUNAUCCUGAAAAGCCGUCUCAGUUCGGAUUGCACUCUGCAACUCGGGUGCAUGAAGGUGGAAUCGCUAGUAAUCGCGGAUCAGCAUGCCGCNGUNAAUACNUUC
RNAcentral lists this ribosomal RNA (339 nucleotides) under Acidiphilium angustum. RNAcentral describes it as "16S ribosomal RNA". It matches the Rfam family "Bacterial small subunit ribosomal RNA", at positions 1034 to 1373 of the family's 1533-position model. Lineage: Bacteria; Pseudomonadati; Pseudomonadota; Alphaproteobacteria; Acetobacterales; Acidocellaceae. The record is from RNAcentral.